Molecule: transfer RNA, 74 nt
Filed under: bacterium
Lineage: Bacteria
Also listed under: 2 other names
Description: tRNA-Ala
Rfam family: tRNA
About the family: Transfer RNA (tRNA) molecules are approximately 80 nucleotides in length.
Source: RNAcentral
GGGCCCUUAGCUCAGCUGGCUAGAGCACCUGCUUUGCAAGCAGGGGGUCAAGGGUUCGAAUCCCUUAGGGUCCA